GAUGAAGAACGCAGCGAAAUGCGAUAAGUAAUGUGAAUUGCAGAAUUCAGUGAAUCAUCGAAUCUUUGAACGCACCUUGCGCUCCUUGGCAUUCCGAGGAGCAUGCCUGUUUGAGUGUCAUUAAAUUCUCAAGACCUGUCUGCUUUUUUGAUAGGUAUUGGAUUUUGGGGGUUGCAGGCUGUUUCAAAUAAUUAGCCUUGCUCUCCUUGAAUGUAUUAGUGGAGAAAAGCCAUUGAACUCCAUUGGUGUGAUAAAACCUAUCAAUGCCAGGAGCAAUAUCACUACUUCUCUCUGCUGUCUAACUGUGACUGUCUGUAUUAAUUAGUAUGGAUGGGGACAACUUGACCAACUUGACCUCAAAUCAGGUAGGACUACCCGCUGAACUUAAGCAUAUCAAUAAGCGGAGGA
Molecule: unclassified non-coding RNA, 408 nt
Filed under: soil metagenome
Description: partial contains 5.8S ribosomal RNA, internal transcribed spacer 2, and large subunit ribosomal RNA
Rfam family: 5.8S ribosomal RNA (bases 1-120)
Source: RNAcentral